Molecule: ribosomal RNA, 463 nt
Filed under: uncultured bacterium
Lineage: Bacteria
Description: partial 16S ribosomal RNA
Rfam family: Bacterial small subunit ribosomal RNA
Source: RNAcentral
AGUGAACGCUGGCGGCGUGCUUAAUACAUGCAAGUCGAACGAUGAAGUCCUAGCUUGCUAGGAUGGAUUAGUGGCGCACGGGUGAGUAAUAUAUAGUUAAUCUGCCUUGCACUGAGGAACAACAGUUGGAAACGAUUGCUAAUACCUCAUACUCCAACUUUACAUAAGUUAAGUUGGGAAAGUCUUUUCGGUGCAAGAUGAGACUAUAUCGUAUCAGCUAGUUGGUAAGGUAAUGGCUUACCAAGGCUAUGACGCGUAACUGGUCUGAGAGGAUGAUCAGUCUCAUUGGAACUGAGACACGGUCCAAACUCCUACGGGAGGCAGCAGUAAGGAAUAUUGUGCAAUGGGGGAAACCCUGACGCAGCAACGCCGCGUGGAGGAUGACACUUUUCGGAGCGUAAACUCCUUUUGUUAGGGAAGAAUAAUGACGGUACCUAACGAAUAAGCACCGGCUAACUCCGUG